RNAcentral lists this long non-coding RNA (5249 nucleotides) under Triticum aestivum (bread wheat). RNAcentral describes it as "long non-coding RNA (TAES_LNC022824)". Lineage: Eukaryota; Viridiplantae; Streptophyta; Magnoliopsida; Poales; Poaceae. The record is from RNAcentral.
GCUUGAUAAUCAUCAAAAAGGAUAAUUUACUAGUCUUUGGUCUAUCUUGCAGAAAUGUGCGCAAAGGCACUAUAAACUACAAGUUUCUGUCCAUGUGGCAAUCGAGAUGAGCAUAUGAAAGAAGAGAAGGAAGAGGGACUUGAGUGUGAUGAAUAUUAAAGCUUCAAGGGCAAGAAAGAAAGAGUGGAGGGAUCAACUUGUGAAGUAGGCAGAGAAGUAGAAGGGCCGAAGUGCAAAAGUGCAGAUCUGAGGAGAGGGUCAAAAUCCCUAGCGCAGCCUCCAUUUCCCCCUUCGGCCUGGCCACACCUUCAUCUCUCUCCCCCUCACCACUCCUUCUCCACCUCCGGCCGCCGCCACGGCCAGGCCGGCGUGGUGAUGCGCCUCCGUAGCCCAUCCACCCACCAGCGCCAUCCAUCACCAGCACCAACACCCAGCGCCACCAUCACCUCCUGCCGCCAGCGCCACCACCACCUCGCGCGCCCUGCAAUCCAUCUCCCUGCUGCUCCUCCACCUUUCUUCUUCUCCUAACCUACUGCUGCUCUCCUUCUUCUUCCCUAGCCUCGCUGCUGCUCUUCCUUCUCCAAAUCCCCAAACUGCUGCUCCUCUUUCUUACACGCCUGCUGCGGUUCUUCUUCUCCUAUCUUGCUGCACCACUACUGCUGCUCCUUGUCUCCUACGUCCCCUGCUGCUCCUAACUUGCUGCUGCUGCUGCUCCUUCCUCCCUUACCUUGCUGAUGCACUUCUCUGAAUCCGAAUCAUUACUGCCUCUCUCUCUCUCUCUCUCUCUCUCUGAAAUUUUUGUAAAAUUUAGAAGUGUAUGACAUUUAAUAUUCAGAUUUGAAGUGUACUUGCAACCUGCUGUUUGCUCUGUUUAAGUGCUUGUAUAAUAUGGUGUAUGUGAUCUGAGAUCUGACUAGUUGAGGCUUUGCUACUUUGGGAGAUACUUGAUCUAUUAUAUUUUGGUUCUAUCAAUUAGUAUUCUGCUAGCAUAUAUGUGUGUUCACCCUGUGUACUAGUCCCCUGUACUAGUUAACUUCCAGUACCAGUUAACUUUGUGUGUGAUUAAUUUUCAGUCUCUGUGAUAGCUUCGUCUCUGUGACAAAUAUGUUUGUAAUGUGACCCAUUUCUAUUUUGCUAUAUAUGUUCAUGUCCUGUUGUUCCCUUUGUGUUACUGUUUUAGUUUCUCAUGCCAAUAAAAAAUAAUACCAAAAAGACAGAGAGUAUAAUCUAAAUCUCCCUUUGCUUCUUUUCGUUUACCGUGGCGACAAUCAUUGAUACUUUAGGUUUUAUUUCUGCAUUCAUAAGCUGAAUUGUGUUACCUAGAUUUAUCCGAGCACGAUCAUUGACUUGCCUAGUCCCUGAGGAGAACACGACACUCGCAGUUUGGGCGUAAAACCCCACUGUACCUACAAUUGAUCAUUUUGGCGCCGUUGCCGGGGACUACCGUCGUGUGACCGUGUUUGGCUAUAGACUAGGUUUUUCUUCUUUUUCUAGUUUGUGCCAUAUAUUCGUGAUAUAUCUCUAACCACUAACCUCUUUUCUAGUUAGUAUCUUUUUUGUUUUCUUUAACUUUUUGCAGGUUAGAACUAUCUUCUCGGUUAUGGCUUACUAUUUAGAUCAUCAGGCUUAUGCGAGCAACACUACAAACAACACGGAAAGUAUUCAAGAACUGAUAAGUAAGAUUUCCCAUCGAUUAGAUGAUUUAGCUCGGCAACGAGAAGUAGUUUUUGAGGAUAGGCCUAGCUCUUAUGAUCCUUAUUCUAGAGGCCAUCCUUAAUUUGCUCCUACCUGCCAUAUUUGUGGAUUUCAGGGCCAUUCGCCCGCUGAAUGUCGGUGUGGUUACUCCCAUCCUCCGGAUUGUUUUGGCAUGAGCUUCGCUCAACGGCAUAGCUCAUACCAAAACAAUUACUCACAUGGGUGGCCUGAAAGCCUGAAUAUGUCAUAUAGGAGCAACAACCCCGAGAUCUCAUCGUUUGUCUCUAGUUAUCCAUUGCAGAGAUUUAGGUAUGAAGAGGAGAGCCACAACUAUGCUCCACAACAGAUUUAUUCAGCUCCUACCCAUAUACCUCAACACCAGGACAUGUUCCCAAUUGAGUUAAAUGGUCAUCCAUUUGGUCAACCAACAUCUUCAACACUAGUGCCCACACAAGAUGACUUUGAUGAUAUAGACAAGCUCACAUUGCUUAGUCUCGAGUUCACUUGGAGUGCCGAAGAUGAUCCAAUUAGGCCGGUGAUACUAGAGGAAAUGAAGAAGAUUAAGAGUGGAAAGGAGCUAGUGGAAGAAGUAAGGAAGAUUGAGAAGAACAUCAACGCUGUCAGUACUAUCUCUUCCCUCCUUGAGCUGAGUGUUGCCGGGAUAUCCCUUGAGGUGUGUGAGGUUCCAACACCUUCACAUUCAGCUGAGCAAGAUAGUGAGAGUCCAGAGGAAGAGAUACUUCAGAUCCAAGAAGAAAUUCUCGAAGCCAAGGCACAAGAUGAUCCAGACCUCGAACAACAAAGUGAUCAAGGUGAAGACUCAUCAUCUAUUACUCUUGAAGAAGCAAAAGAAGUUGAUGUGAUUGAAGAUGAAGAACUAGAAACGCAUUUGCCCAUCGUCAUACAGGAGCGUGAUUUAGCAGGUUUAUCCAAUCCUCUUGAUGACAUGCUUCCUUAUGAGAUCUUUGCUGCUACUUUCCAUUGUGUUAUACCAUCAAUUAAGCUAGACUUGAAAAAUUAUUUGCUUGGACAUGAUCAUACAUACAUUGUUGGUGGCAUUGCUCUCAUUCCUGAUUAUGACACUUAUUUUCCUUAUGCUAGUCCUAUGCUUAAUGAAACAUAUUAUUCCCAUGCUAGUCUUGAGCUUAAUGAUAAAUUUCAUCCUCACGUUAGUGUCGACCUUGCUGAUUUCUACCAUCCUAAACAUGUGCUUUAUAGCUAUGCUUAUGUAAUUGGUUAUUCGAUUGAUGACUUGGAGGGUAUUAUCCCUACCACUUGAAUUGUCUCUUUCGUUGAGUGCUCUUUCAGGUUCUUGCUUGUGCACGAUCCACUACAUGCUGACCAAGUUCGAGAUGACAUUCCCUGGGACCCCGGUGGACCUAUGGCAUGGGGAUGAGGAGAAGCAAGGAGCACACACGAAGAGAGAAGCUGGAGCAGGCAUGAGGAUAGAGAAGCAAAAAGAGAAGAGUUGCAGUUCAGAGAGUGAUUGUGCGAGACCUACAUCAUAUAAGCCCGGUGAGCUGUUUCAUGACCCAUUCUGAGUAUAUCAUCCAUUGAUACAUGCUGAAAUCAAAUGUUAUUUUGUUUGCUUAAGCCAUGUCUUAAAUGUUGCCCCACUAAAUUUUAUUUGACAUAUGGUGCUUGAUGAGAAUAUGCGAACUGAUUGUUGAAUGCCAUGUAAACUAGUGAUCUACAUAUUGCUUGCUUUGCUGAAAUUAGUGAAAGUUAUUAGUUUUGAGUGCUCAAAUCCCUAGUACACUAGAAAACUUAAUUAUUUUCUGCUUUUACCUCGAUACACCUAGAUCACCACAUUUAGAUGCUGUAUUUGUGCCAAGUGUCUUCCCAUUGAGAGCAAUCACCUAACCACUAUGGAUUAGCAUGCUAUGUUCCCUGGAUCGGUAGCAUGUGAACUAGACAUAGAGAAGUGAUGAUUCCUGUUUUUGUUCUUAUGCGUUGUUCAUUUAAGAUAAGUAAUAAUGAAUAAACAAGUCUGGCUACCUACAGUAGCAUGUCAUGUUCCCGGGAUCGGUGGCAUGUGAAAUCGGGUUAGCUUGGGCAGUAAAUAAUAAUAAUAAAAAUGUAAUUGUCGAACCAGAUGUAUACCAUGUUCUCGGGAUCGGUGGUAUGUUCCUUUGGGGAGACAAACAAAAAAAUUAUAUAAUUGGUCGAGCCGGGUGUAUACCAUGUUCUCGGGAUCGGUGGUAUGUUCCUUUGGUGAGAUCAAUAAAAUAUUAUCAUUACUUUCUUCAAAUUCAAUAAGUGGUUCAACCACAAUGUUCCUGUAAUAAGUGAUCUGAUCACAAGUUUAAGUUCUUUUUAUUUUUUUGGAUCAUGCUCUCUUUAGGAACCAUUUGGCGCGGUCAUCAUUUAAACUUGUUGAUCCUCUUUUAUCAUUGUAAAAGUUUAAAAUGGUCAUGCUUACUAGUACCCUACUGCUUUGUAGCACUCUUAACCAUCAAUUUUCACUAGCUAAGUCCAAAAGCAUGCAUUGUUUCGAGAUCUACUUCACUUGGACAUUCUUUACUCAGUUCACUGUUCACACUCUUGCUCUUGUCAUAUGCCUUUGCUUGAGGACAAGCAAAGAUUUAAGUGUGGGGGAACUUGAUAAGUAUAUUUCACAUAUGUAAUUUUGGUACUCAAAUAUAGCAUCUAUCGUAACAUAUUCGUCCAUUCUUGCCAUGCUUGAUUGAAUAUUGCUUGAUAAUCAUCAAAAAGGAUAAUUUACUAGUCUUUGGUCUAUCUUGCAGAAAUGUGCGCAAAGGCACUAUAAACUACAAGUUUCUGUCCAUGUGGCAAUCGAGAUGAGCAUAUGAAAGAAGAGAAGGAAGAGGGACUUGAGUGUGAUGAAUAUUAAAGCUUCAAGGGCAAGAAAUAAAGAGUGGAGGGAUCAACUUGUGAAGUAGGCAGAGAAGUAGAAGGGCCGAAGUGCAAAAGUGCAGAUCUGAGGAGAGGGUCAAAAUCCCUAGCGCAGCCUCCAUUUUCCCCUUGGGCCUGGCCACACCUUCAUCUCUCUCCCCCUCACCACUCCUUCUCCACCUCCGGCCGCCGCCACGGCCAGGCCGGCGUGGUGGUGCGCCUCCGCAGCCCAUCCACCCACCAGCGCCAUCCAUCACCAGCACCAACACCCAGCGCCACCAUCACCUCUUGCCGUCAGCGCCACCACCACCUCGCGCGCCCUGCAAUCCAUCUCCCUGCUGCUCCUCCACCUUUCUUCUUCUCCUAACCUACUGCUGCUCUCCUUCUUCUUCCCUAGCCUCGCUGCUGCUCUUCCUUCUCCAAAUCCCCUAUGUACCAAUAGCUAUGUGUUUGAUCUCUCUCUCUCAUGUUCUCUCUCGUGUUCCCCUAUGGCACGAUCUUGAUGUAUCCCGAGCUUUGAUAUUGUAGUUGGAUCUUAUGAUGUUUCUCCCCCUCUACUCUCUUGUGAUGAAUUGAGUUUCUCCUUUUGAAGUUAUCUUAUCGGAUUGAGUCUUUUAUUAACACUUGAUGUAUGUCUUGCGUGGGAUAACCGUGGUGACAAUGGGUUAUUCUAUUGAUCCACUUGAUGUAUGUUUUGG